UUCCACGUGUAGCAGUGAAAUGCGUAGAGAUGUGGAGGAAUACCGAUGGCGAAGGCAGCCUCCUGGGAUAACACUGACGUUCAUGCCCGAAAGCGUGGGUAGCAAACAGGAUUAGAUACCCUGGUAGUCCACGCCCUAAACGAUGUCGAUUAGCUGUUGGGCAGCAUGACUGCUUAGUAGCGAAGCUAACGCGUGAAAUCGACCGCCUGGGGAGUACGGUCGCAAGAUUAAAACUCAAAGGAAUUGACGGGGACCCGCACAAGCGGUGGAUGAUGUGGAUUAAUUCGAUGCAACGCGAAGAACCUUACCUGGUCUUGACAUGUACGGAACCCUCCAGAGACGGAGGGGUGCCUUCGGGAGCCGUAACACAGGUGCUGCAUGGCUGUCGUCGGCUCGUGUCGUGAGAUGUUGGGUUAAGUCCCGCAACGAGCGCAACCCUUGUCAUUAGUUGCCAUCAUUAAGUUGGGCACUCUAAUGAGACUGCCGGUGACAAGCCGGAGGAAGGUGGGGAUGACGUCAAGUCCUCAUGGCCCUUAUGACCAGGGCUUCACACGUCAUACAAUGGUCGGUACAGAGGGUAGCCAAGCCGCGAGGUGGAGCCAAUCUCACAAAACCGAUCGUAGUCCGGAUUGCACUCUGCAACUCGAGUGCAUGAAGUCGGAAUCGCUAGUAAUCGCAGGUCAGCAUACUGCGGUGAAUACGUUCCCGGGUCUUGUACACACCGCCCGUCACACCAUGGGAGUGGGGGAUACCAGAAGUA
This 760-nucleotide ribosomal RNA is filed under the name uncultured bacterium. Its description in RNAcentral is "bacterial SSU rRNA". It matches the Rfam family "Bacterial small subunit ribosomal RNA", at positions 667 to 1428 of the family's 1533-position model. The record is from RNAcentral.